UACUAAUGCAUAUGGCGGAUGCCUAGACAUCAAAAAGCGAUGAAGGACGUAGCUAGUUGCGAAAAGCUUCGGGGAGGUGCUGAGCAACCUUUGAUCCGAAGAUAUCCAAAUGGGGCAACCCAACCCAUUCUUCACUUCGUUCAGAAUGUAAUUUCUAAUUUUCAAUUUACAAUUUUCAAAUAAAUUCUAAUCUCAAAUUUUUAGAAAUUGAAACAUUGAGAAUUAUUUAUAAAAUUAAAAAUUUUAAAUUAAAAAAUUUGUAAAGUUUAUUUUAAUGGCAAAAUUUCUGGAUAAAGUGAAGAAUGGGUUAAUAUUAACUGAAUUCAUAGGUUAAUAUAGCGUACCCGGCGAAUUGAAACAUCUUAGUAGCCGGAGGAAAAGAAAACUAAUGUGAUUCCCUAAGUAGUGGCGAGCGAAAGGGGAAAAGUCUAAACCAGCUUCACCUCACUGCGUUCGGUGAAGAAUUCUAGAUUUUAAAUUCUAAAUUUUAAAUCAAAUCUAAAUUUUCAAAUGAUUGAAUUUUAAAAAUUUGUUCAUUUGGUCAUUGAAAAUUCGUUUAAAAUUGAAAAUUUAAAAUUGAAAAUUCUGUCCGAGCAUAGCGAGGUGCAGCUGGGGUUGCGAGGUAAUUUUACUCGUUUAAUCGGGGCGAUGAAUUGUUUGUUAGCAGAACGUUUUGGAAAAAACGACCAAAGAAAGUGAAAGUCUUGUAAGCGAAAACAAACAACAUUCGUGAAAUUAUUCUCAAGUAGGGCGGGACCGGAGAAAUCCCGUUUGAAUCUGGGGUCACUAUAACUCCAAGACUAAAUAUUUUUGAUGAUCGAUAGCGAACAAGUACCGUGAGGGAAAGGUGAAAAGUAUCCCGAUGAGGGAGAUGAAAUAGUAUCUGAAACCAUAUGCUAACGAAGAGUAGGAGCCGUAUUUUUCACUAACGUCCAGAAUAAAUUUUUAAUUUCCAAUUUUUAAUUUUAUAAAUAAUUUUUAAUGUUUUGAUUUUAUAAACAUUAGAAAUUAGAAAAUUAUUUAAAAAUUGUAAAAAUUAAAAAUUAUAAAAUUCGGAGCGUAAGUGAAGAAUACGGUGACUGCGUGCUUUUUGUAGAACGAUCCAGCGAGUUAGUUUUAUACGGCUUGCUUAAUCCGUUAAUAGCGGAGGAGGCGUAGUGAAAGCGAGCCUUAACCGGCGAUUUGUCGUAUGGACUAGACCCGAAGCCAGGCGAGCUAUUUAUGAGCAGGGUGAAUCUUGAGUAACAUCAAGAGGAGGCCCGAACCCACCGGCCGUGCAACACCGGGGGAUGACUUGUGAAUAGAGGAGAAAUUCCAAUCGAGCUUGGCGAUAGCUGGUUCUUCCCGAAAUAGCUUGAGGGCUAGCGUUAGGUAACUAUCUGUCGGAGGUAGAGCGACUGAAUGAGAAUUCGCGGUUCGCCGUAGGUUUCUCAACCAAACUCCGAAUUCCGUCAGAACUAUCCUAGCAGUCAGAAAUCCGGGGCUAAGCUCGGAUCUCAAAAGGGGAAAAGCCCAUGAUCGCAAUCUAAGGUCCCUAAUUUAUGUUAAGUGGAAAAGGAAGUAAGAUUUCUUAUACAGCUAGGAGGUUGGCUCAGAGGCAGCCAUCCUUUAAAGAGUGCGUAAUAGCUCACUAGUCUAGAGAUUUCGCGCCGAAAAUGUAACGGGGCUAAAACAUAAUACCGAAGAUGCGGGCUACUAUUCUUCACUAACGUUCAGAAUGAAAUUUUAAAGACUAAAUUUAAAAUUUUAAAUCAAGUCUAAAUGAAUAAAUUUUUAAAAUUUAAACAUUGGGAAAUUUAAAAUUCAAUUAAAAUUUAUAAUUUAAAAUUGAAAAUUUCCGAGCGAUAGCGAAGGAUGGUAGCGGUAGGGAAGCGUUCCAUAUGCGCUGAAGCGGAAUGCGUGAGCAACCGUGGAGUUUAUGGAAGUGAGAAUGCUGGAAUUAGUAACCGCAAUUGGGGUGAGAACCCCCGACACCGAAAGUCUAAGGUUUCCUGGGCAAUGGCAAUCAUCUCAGGGUUAGUCGGGCCUAAGGCGAGGCCGAAAGGCGUAGUCGAUGGACACACGGUUAAUACUCCGUGGCUUUCACGUUAUUCGAUGGAGUGACGCAUCCUAGUAGUUCUUGCCAAUUAUUGGAUUUUGGUAGGGAUAUUUAGAUGGCGAGACAGGUAAAUCCGUUUCGCAAUACAUCAAGAUAUUUCUCUAAUUUGUCUUCGGACAGAAAAGAAGAAUGAGCAGGGUGCCGGGAAAAGCUUCUAAGAUUAGUAGCGUGAGAACCGUACUAAAACCGACACAGGUAGACUGGGCGAGUAGCCUAAGGUGAACGAGUGAACCUUCGUUAAGGAACUCGGCAAAAUAGCGUCCGUAACUUAGGAAUAAGGACUGCCCGCCGUGUAUAGCACAGAGAUUCUAAAUUUCAGAAAAAUAAUUAAAAUAUAAAUUUGGAAUUCCCGUGCUAUGCGUGGUGGGCCGCAGCUAAAGAUAUCAAGCGACUGUUUACCAAAAACACAGGUCUCUGCAAACCCGCAAGGGGAUGUAUAGGGGCUGACGCCUGACCAGUGCUGGAACGUUAACGGGAGCGGUGCAAGCCAAUCCCCGAAGCGCCAGUG
RNAcentral lists this ribosomal RNA (2606 nucleotides) under Candidatus Moranbacteria bacterium CG_4_9_14_3_um_filter_33_15. RNAcentral describes it as "bacterial LSU rRNA". It matches the Rfam family "Bacterial large subunit ribosomal RNA", at positions 1 to 1925 of the family's 2925-position model. The record is from RNAcentral. Lineage: Bacteria; Candidatus Moraniibacteriota.